RNAcentral lists this ribosomal RNA (465 nucleotides) under uncultured Klebsiella sp. Its description in RNAcentral is "bacterial SSU rRNA". It matches the Rfam family "Bacterial small subunit ribosomal RNA", at positions 338 to 795 of the family's 1533-position model. The record is from RNAcentral. Lineage: Bacteria; Pseudomonadati; Pseudomonadota; Gammaproteobacteria; Enterobacterales; Enterobacteriaceae.
CCUACGGGUGGCAGCAGUGGGGAAUAUUGCACAAUGGGCGCAAGCCUGAUGCAGCCAUGCCGCGUGUGUGAAGAAGGCCUUCGGGUUGUAAAGCACUUUCAGCGGGGGGGAAGGCGUUAAGGUUAAUAACCUUGUCGAUUGACGUUACCCGCAGAAGAAGCACCGGCUAACUCCGUGCCAGCAGCCGCGGUAAUACGGAGGGUGCAAGCGUUAAUCGGAAUUACUGGGCGUAAAGCGCACGCAGGCGGUCUGUCAAGUCGGAUGUGAAAUCCCCGGGCUCAACCUGGGAACUGCAUUCGAAACUGGCAGGCUAGAGUCUUGUAGAGGGGGGUAGAAUUCCAGGUGUAGCGGUGAAAUGCGUAGAGAUCUGGAGGAAUACCGGUGGCGAAGGCGGCCCCCUGGACAAAGACUGACGCUCAGGUGCGAAAGCGUGGGGAGCAAACAGGAUUAGAUACCCGAGUAGUC